UGCCAGCAGCCGCGGUAAUACGUAGGUGGCAAGCGUUGUCCGGAUUUAUUGGGCGUAAAGCGAGCGCAGGCGGUUCCUUAAGUCUGAUGUGAAAGCCCCCGGCUCAACCGGGGAGGGUCAUUGGAAACUGGGGAACUUGAGUGCAGAAGAGGAGAGUGGAAUUCCAUGUGUAGCGGUGAAAUGCGUAGAUAUAUGGAGGAACACCAGUGGCGAAGGCGACUCUCUGGUCUGUAACUGACGCUGAGGCUCGAAAGCGUGGGUAGCAAACAGGAUUAGAUA
This 279-nucleotide ribosomal RNA is filed under the name uncultured bacterium. Its description in RNAcentral is "partial 16S ribosomal RNA". It matches the Rfam family "Bacterial small subunit ribosomal RNA", at positions 506 to 784 of the family's 1533-position model. The record is from RNAcentral.